RNAcentral lists this ribosomal RNA (697 nucleotides) under uncultured Vibrionaceae bacterium. Its description in RNAcentral is "bacterial SSU rRNA". It matches the Rfam family "Bacterial small subunit ribosomal RNA", at positions 1 to 671 of the family's 1533-position model. Lineage: Bacteria; Pseudomonadati; Pseudomonadota; Gammaproteobacteria; Vibrionales; Vibrionaceae. The record is from RNAcentral.
GGGCCGCGGGAUUAGAGUUUGAUCCUGGCUCAGAUUGAACGCUGGCGGCAGGCCUAACACAUGCAAGUCGAGCGGAAACGAGUUAUCUGAACCUUCGGUGGACGAUAACGGCGUCGAGCGGCGGACGGGUGAGUAAUGCCUAGGAAAUUGCCCUGAUGUGGGGGAUAACCAUUGGAAACGAUGGCUAAUACCGCAUAAUGCCUACGGGCCAAAGAGGGGGAUCUUCGGACCUCUCGCGUCAAGAUAUGCCUAGGUGGGAUUAGCUAGUUGGUGAGGUAAUGGCUCACCAAGGCGACGAUCCCUAGCUGGUCUGAGAGGAUGAUCAGCCACACUGGAACUGAGACACGGUCCAGACUCCUACGGGAGGCAGCAGUGGGGAAUAUUGCACAAUGGGCGAAAGCCUGAUGCAGCCAUGCCGCGUGUAUGAAGAAGGCCUUCGGGUUGUAAAGUACUUUCAGUUGUGAGGAAGGGGGUAGUGUUAAUAGCGCUAUCUCUUGACGUUAGCAACAGAAGAAGCACCGGCUAACUCCGUGCCAGCAGCCGCGGUAAUACGGAGGGUGCGAGCGUUAAUCGGAAUUACUGGGCGUAAAGCGCAUGCAGGUGGUUCAUUAAGUCAGAUGUGAAAGCCCGGGGCUCAACCUCGGAACUGCAUUUGAAACUGGUGAACUAGAGUGCUGUAGAGGGGGGUAGAAUUUCA